RNAcentral lists this ribosomal RNA (849 nucleotides) under uncultured bacterium. Its description in RNAcentral is "bacterial SSU rRNA". It matches the Rfam family "Bacterial small subunit ribosomal RNA", at positions 63 to 871 of the family's 1533-position model. The record is from RNAcentral.
CGAGCGAGUCUGCCUUGAAGAUCGGAGUGCUUGCACUCUGUGAAGCAAGAUACAGGCUAGCGGCGGACGGGUGAGUAACACGUGGGUAACCUGCCCAAGAGAUCGGGAUAACACCUGGAAACAGAUGCUAAUACCGGAUAACAACAGAUGAUGCCUAUCAACUGUUUAAAAGAUGGUUCUGCUAUCACUCUUGGAUGGACCUGCGGUGCAUUAGCUAGUUGGUAGGGUAACGGCCUACCAAGGCGAUGAUGCGUAGCCGAGUUGAGAGACUGAUCGGCCACAUUGGGACUGAGACACGGCCCAAACUCCUACGGGAGGCAGCAGUAGGGAAUCUUCCACAAUGGACGCAAGUCUGAUGGAGCAACGCCGCGUGAGUGAAGAAGGGUUUCGGCUCGUAAAGCUCUGUUGUUGGUGAAGAAGGACAGGGGUAGUAACUGACCUUUGUUUGACGGUAAUCAAUUAGAAAGUCACGGCUAACUACGUGCCAGCAGCCGCGGUAAUACGUAGGUGGCAAGCGUUGUCCGGAUUUAUUGGGCGUAAAGCGAGUGCAGGCGGCUCGAUAAGUCUGAUGUGAAAGCCUUCGGCUCAACCGGAGAAUUGCAUCAGAAACUGUCGAGCUUGAGUACAGAAGAGGAGAGUGGAACUCCAUGUGUAGCGGUGAAAUGCGUAGAUAUAUGGAAGAACACCGGUGGCGAAGGCGGCUCUCUGGUCUGUUACUGACGCUGAGGCUCGAAAGCAUGGGUAGCGAACAGGAUUAGAUACCCUGGUAGUCCAUGCCGUANACGAUGAGUGCUAAGUGUUGGGAGGUUUCCGCCUCUCAGUGCUGCAGCUAACGCAUUAAGCACUCCG